UACAGCACCUGGUAUUCCCAGACAGUCUCCCUUCCAAGUACUAACAAGGCCCAACCUUGCUUAGCUUCUGAGAUCAGAUGAGAU
Molecule: small RNA, 84 nt
Filed under: Cricetulus griseus (Chinese hamster)
Lineage: Eukaryota; Metazoa; Chordata; Mammalia; Rodentia; Cricetidae
Source: RNAcentral